UGUGGUGUCAUACUUGGAAUAACAUUU
RNAcentral lists this non-coding RNA (27 nucleotides) under Mus musculus (house mouse). The record is from RNAcentral. Lineage: Eukaryota; Metazoa; Chordata; Mammalia; Rodentia; Muridae.